AGUGAACGCUGGCUGUAGGCCUAACACAUGCAAGUCGAACGGCAGCACAGUAAGAGCUUGCUCUUACGGGUGGCGAGUGGCGGACGGGUGAGGAAUACAUCUGAAUCUACUUUUUCGUGGGGGAUAACGUAGGGAAACUUACGCUAAUACCGCAUACGACCUACGGUUGAAAGCAGGGGAUCUUCGGACCUUGCGCGAUUGAAUGAGCCGAUGUCGGAUUAGCUAGUUGUCGGGGUAAAGGCCCACCAAGGCGACGAUCCGUAGCUGGUCUGAGAGGAUGAUCAGCCACACUGGAACUGAGACACGGUCCAGACUCCUACGGGAGGCAGCAGUGGGGAAUAUUGGACAAUGGGAGCAAGCCUGAUCCAGCCAUACCGCGUGGGUGAAGAAGGCCUUCGGGUUGUAAAGCCCUUUUGUUGGGAAAGAAAAGCAGAAGGUUAAUACCCCGCUGUUCUGACGGUACCCAAAGAAUAAGCACCGGCUAACUUCGUG
This 492-nucleotide ribosomal RNA is filed under the name uncultured bacterium. RNAcentral's name for it is "partial 16S ribosomal RNA". It matches the Rfam family "Bacterial small subunit ribosomal RNA", at positions 29 to 507 of the family's 1533-position model. The record is from RNAcentral.